RNAcentral lists this non-coding RNA (181 nucleotides) under Candidatus Magnetomorum sp. HK-1. Its description in RNAcentral is "6S / SsrS RNA". It matches the Rfam family "6S / SsrS RNA". Rfam says of the family: E. coli 6S RNA was the first non coding RNA to be sequenced, but its function was unknown until recently. Lineage: Bacteria; Pseudomonadati; Thermodesulfobacteriota; Desulfobacteria; Desulfobacterales; Candidatus Magnetomoraceae. The record is from Rfam by way of RNAcentral.
AAGCCCCUGCGGUGUUAGUGAUUGAUAAGAUUCUUUGUUCCAACACGAUAAAAAAGGGAGCUCUACCUGGUAUCAUGAGUGAUUUCCGUCAAUUGUCAUGGAAACCCGAAGGUGCCACAGGGUGCCCACCUAAAUAAAUAGGUUCAAAAGGUUUAUCAACACGGCAUUCCGCGGGGGCUUU